RNAcentral lists this ribosomal RNA (397 nucleotides) under uncultured bacterium. RNAcentral's name for it is "bacterial SSU rRNA". It matches the Rfam family "Bacterial small subunit ribosomal RNA", at positions 28 to 426 of the family's 1533-position model. The record is from RNAcentral.
GACGAACGCUGGCGGCGUGCCUAACACAUGCAAGUCGAACGGGGUAGCCCCUUCGGGGACUACUUAGUGGCGAACGGGUGAGUAACGCGUGAGGAACCUGCCUCUCAGUGGGGGACAACAGUUGGAAACGACUGCUAAUACCGCAUAAUGUAGCGAGAUCGCAUGAUCAUGCUACCAAAGAUUUAUUGCUGAGAGAUGGCCUCGCGUCUGAUUAGCUAGUUGGUGAGGUAACGGCUCACCAAGGCGACGAUCAGUAGCCGGUCUGAGAGGAUGAACGGCCACAUUGGGACUGAGAUACGGCCCAGACUCCUACGGGAGGCAGCAGUGGGGAAUAUUGGGCAAUGGGGGAAACCCUGACCCAGCAACGCCGCGUGAAGGAAGAAGGCCUUCGGGUUGU